This 74-nucleotide transfer RNA is filed under the name Lactococcus sp. Its description in RNAcentral is "tRNA-Met". It matches the Rfam family "tRNA". From Rfam's summary of the family: Transfer RNA (tRNA) molecules are approximately 80 nucleotides in length. RNAcentral also lists the same sequence under 4 other names. Lineage: Bacteria; Bacillati; Bacillota; Bacilli; Lactobacillales; Streptococcaceae. The record is from RNAcentral.
GGCGAUGUAGCUCAGCUGGCUAGAGCGUUCGGUUCAUACCCGAAAGGUCGGGGGUUCGAUCCCCUUCGUCGCUA